GGGGGUAUAACUCAGUGGUAGAGUGCUCGCUUUGCAUGCGAGAAGCCGUGGGUUCAAUCCCCACUGCCUCCA
Borealophlyctis nickersoniae is the source of this 72-nucleotide non-coding RNA. Lineage: Eukaryota; Fungi; Chytridiomycota; Chytridiomycetes; Rhizophlyctidales; Borealophlyctidaceae. The record is from the annotation of a GenBank genome assembly.